AACUUUCAACAACGGAUCUCUUGGUUCUCGCAUCGAUGAAGAACGUAGCAAAUUGCGAUAAUUAGUGUGAAUUGCAUAUUCAGUGAAUCAUCGAGUCUUUGAACGCAUCUUGCACUCAUUGGUAUUCCAAUGAGUACGCCUGUUUCAGUA
RNAcentral lists this ribosomal RNA (150 nucleotides) under Mycotypha sp. CBS 109960. RNAcentral describes it as "5.8S ribosomal RNA". It matches the Rfam family "5.8S ribosomal RNA". Rfam says of the family: 5.8S ribosomal RNA (5.8S rRNA) is a component of the large subunit of the eukaryotic ribosome. The record is from RNAcentral. Lineage: Eukaryota; Fungi; Mucoromycota; Mucoromycetes; Mucorales; Mycotyphaceae.